Molecule: ribosomal RNA, 505 nt
Filed under: uncultured bacterium
Lineage: Bacteria
Description: partial 16S ribosomal RNA
Rfam family: Bacterial small subunit ribosomal RNA
Source: RNAcentral
GACGAACGCUGGCGGCGUGCCUAAUACAUGCAAGUAGAACGCACAGUUUAUACCGUAGCUUGCUACACCAUAGACUGUGAGUUGCGAACGGGUGAGUAACGCGUAGGUAACCUGCCUGGUAGCGGGGGAUAACUAUUGGAAACGAUAGCUAAUACCGCAUAAUAUUAAUUAUUGCAUGAUAAUUAAUUGAAAGGUGCAAUUGCACCACUACCAGAUGGACCUGCGUUGUAUUAGCUAGUAGGUGAGGUAACGGCUCACCUAGGCGACGAUACAUAGCCGACCUGAGAGGGUGAUCGGCCACCCUGGGACUGAGACACGGCCCAGACUCCUACGGGAGGCAGCAGUAGGGAAUCUUCGGCAAUGGACGAAAGUCUGACCGAGCAACGCCGCGUGAGUGAAGAAGGUUUUCGGAUCGUAAAGCUCUGUUGUAAGAGAAGAACGGGUGUGAGAGUGGAAAGUUCACACUGUGACGGUAUCUUACCAGAAAGGGACGGCUAACUACGUG